UACAGCCAAUACCACCCUGCGCACACCCGAUCUCAUCUCAUCUUGGAGGCUAAGCAGGGUUGGGCCUGGUUAGUACUUGGAUGGGAGAAAGGUCUGAAC
This 99-nucleotide ribosomal RNA is filed under the name Otolemur garnettii (small-eared galago). The record is from RNAcentral. Lineage: Eukaryota; Metazoa; Chordata; Mammalia; Primates; Galagidae.